AUCCUGGCUCAGAACGAACGCUGGCGGCAUGCCUAACACAUGCAAGUCGAACGAAGCCUUCGGACUUAGUGGCGCACGGGUGCGUAACGCGUGGGAAUCUGCCCUUAGGUACGGAAUAACUCAGGGAAACUUGUGCUAAUACCGUAUGAUGUCUUCGGACCAAAGAUUUAUCGCCUAGGGAUGAGCCCGCGUUGGAUUAGCUAGUUGGUGGGGUAAAGGCCUACCAAGGCGACGAUCCAUAGCUGGUCUGAGAGGAUGAUCAGCCACACUGGGACUGAGACACGGCCCAGACUCCUACGGGAGGCAGCAGUGGGGAAUAUUGGACAAUGGGCGAAAGCCUGAUCCAGCAAUGCCGCGUGAGUGAUGAAGGCCUUAGGGUUGUAAAGCUCUUUUACCCGGGAAGAUAAUGACUGUACCGGGAGAAUAAGCCCCGGCUAACUCCGUGCCAGCAGCCGCGGUAAUACGGAGGGGGCUAGCGUUGUUCGGAAUUACUGGGCGUAAAGCGCACGUAGGCGGCUUUGUAAGUUAGAGGUGAAAGCCCGGGGCUCAACCCCGGAAUUGCCUUUAAGACUGCAUCGCUUGAACGUCGGAGAGGUGAGUGGAAUUCCGAGUGUAGAGGUGAAAUUCGUAGAUAUUCGGAAGAACACCAGUGGCGAAG
RNAcentral lists this ribosomal RNA (658 nucleotides) under uncultured bacterium. Its description in RNAcentral is "bacterial SSU rRNA". It matches the Rfam family "Bacterial small subunit ribosomal RNA", at positions 16 to 720 of the family's 1533-position model. The record is from RNAcentral.